Molecule: non-coding RNA, 89 nt
Organism: Clostridium beijerinckii NCIMB 8052
Lineage: Bacteria; Bacillati; Bacillota; Clostridia; Eubacteriales; Clostridiaceae
Source: Rfam
AAAUGUUACUAGCACACUUAUUGAAAGAUAAGGCCGCAAAGCCAUGAGUCUAAGGGAAUUUACAUUUCUAUGAUUGUCAGGUUGCCAAA